GACGAACGCUGGCGGCGUGCCUAAUACAUGCAAGUCGAACGCUUCUUUCCUCCCGAGUGCUUGCACUCAAUUGGAAAGAGGAGUGGCGGACGGGUGAGUAACACGUGGGUAACCUACCCAUCAGAGGGGGAUAACACUUGGAAACAGGUGCUAAUACUGCAUAACAGUUUAUGCCGCAUGGCAUAAGAGUGAAAGGCGCUUUCGGGUGUCGCUGAUGGAUGGACCCGCGGUGCAUUAGCUAGUUGGUGAGGUAACGGCUCACCAAGGCCACGAUGCAUAGCCGACCUGAGAGGGUGAUCGGCCACACUGGGACUGAGACACGGCCCAGACUCCUACGGGAGGCAGCAGUAGGGAAUCUUCGGCAAUGGACGAAAGUCUGACCGAGCAACGCCGCGUGAGUGAAGAAGGUUUUCGGAUCGUAAAACUCUGUUGUUAGAGAAGAACAAGGACGUUAGUAACUGAACGUCCCCUGACGGUAUCUAACCAGAAAGCCACGGCUAACUACGUGCCAGCAGCCGCGGUAAUACGUAGGUGGCAAGCGUUGUCCGGAUUUAUUGGGCGUAAAGCGAGCGCAGGCGGUUUCUUAAGUCUGAUGUGAAAGCCCCCGGCUCAACCGGGGAGGGUCAUUGGGAACUGGGAGACUUGAGUGCAGAAGAGGAGAGUGGAAUUCCAUGUGUAGCGGUGAAAUGCGUAGAUAUAUGGAGGAACACCAGUGGCGAAGGCGGCUCUCUGGUCUGUAACUGACGCUGAGGCUCGAAAGCGUGGGGAGCAAACAGG
Molecule: ribosomal RNA, 777 nt
Filed under: uncultured Lactobacillales bacterium
Lineage: Bacteria; Bacillati; Bacillota; Bacilli; Lactobacillales
Description: bacterial SSU rRNA
Rfam family: Bacterial small subunit ribosomal RNA
Source: RNAcentral